AUUGAACGCUGGCGGCAUGCCUUACACAUGCAAGUCGAACGGUAACAGGUCUUCGGAUGCUGACGAGUGGCGAACGGGUGAGUAAUACAUCGGAACGUGCCCAGUCGUGGGGGAUAACGAAGCGAAAGCUUUGCUAAUACCGCAUACGAUCUACGGAUGAAAGCGGGGGAUCGCAAGACCUCGAGCGAUUGGAGCGGCCGAUGGCAGAUUAGGUAGUUGGUGGGGUAAAGGCUUACCAAGCCUACGAUCUGUAGCUGGUCUGAGAGGACGACCAGCCACACUGGGACUGAGACACGGCCCAGACUCCUACGGGAGGCAGCAGUGGGGAAUUUUGGACAAUGGGCGCAAGCCUGAUCCAGCAAUGCCGCGUGCAGGAUGAAGGCCUUCGGGUUGUAAACUGCUUUUGUACGGAACGAAAAGCUCUGGGUUAAUACCCUGGGGUCAUGACGGUACCGUAAGAAUAAGCACCGGCUAACUACGUGCCAGCAGCCGCAGUAA
This 498-nucleotide ribosomal RNA is filed under the name uncultured bacterium. RNAcentral describes it as "partial 16S ribosomal RNA". It matches the Rfam family "Bacterial small subunit ribosomal RNA", at positions 30 to 523 of the family's 1533-position model. The record is from RNAcentral.